Molecule: long non-coding RNA, 22111 nt
Filed under: Olea europaea (common olive)
Lineage: Eukaryota; Viridiplantae; Streptophyta; Magnoliopsida; Lamiales; Oleaceae
Description: long non-coding RNA (OEUR_LNC006924)
Source: RNAcentral
GCAGUCUUGUAAACAGGAUCAGGGGCAUCAAACCGGGUGGCCUCUCCACGCAGGUAGUUUAUAGGGCUAUCUGUAGAAAAAUUGUUAAUUGCCGAAUCCUUGUUGAACAAAUAAGCAUCAUCAGGUAUCCACCUCCUCAACAAGGUGUCAUUAUCCGGCGUAAUAUUUGAUCCACCAAAGUUAAUUCUAUGGAUUAGACGUAAGGGGCUAGACAACAGACUCUUGUAGUCUGUCGUGUUUCCUUCUGGAGUUAUAUAUGAUUCAGAAUCACGAAAGAACUCAAAUGGGCUAAGAAAAAAUUCAAUUGCAUUGACAAAAGCAAAAGAAUUCUGGGGUAAGAAAUGAAUUCUGAACUUUCCAGAGGUAUUAAUUUUGAGGAAGAACUCUUUGAUGAUCGGUAAACUACUGCCGUUUUUGACACUGAAAUUCGAUAAAAGAGAAAACCCAGAAGCCGACACAUUGAAAUGAGCAUCGAAGAGAUUUUCCUGCGAAGAAAAGGGAAAGAAAUGGAAACGUACCAUAUAGGUGCCAUUUUGGACUUCGUCUAGCUCGUACCAAGAUGGUUUCUUGAAAAUCCUGGCACUUUCAUAGAGAUCGCCAAGUGAAGUAGGGUCUCUAAUUGUGCUGAUUUUGUGGGAAGACACGGUGAAAGUGCUGGGAUUUUCAUCGCCGAUGAAUAAAGUCUUAUCGGCGAACUUGAAGCUAGAAGCUGAACCACAGUUGAUGAAGUACUUUUCAGGUAAAACAUAAUCCGAGGCCAGAGAGAAAAUAAAAGAAAAGAGAAAGAGGAACAGCAGAAAAAGAGCAAUAGAAAUCUUGUUGAACAGAAAAAUUUCCAUAGAUAAAAUAUUUUUGGUGGAGAAUGUGUUUACUGAUAGGAUAUGAUAUGCAGGGAUGAAUAAACGACAAUAAAGACAGUACAUGUAAGAAAACGGGUGUGGGACCAAGUUGACUUGACGUUGACUUCUUGUUGUUUGUUUCAGGCCUAGUCAUUUUCUUCAAAAUGUAUUUUCCUUUCUUUUCUUUUUAACAACACAUUCUUUAUUAAAAUAAUAUUACACGUAAAUAAAAUUUUUUUCCAAAAUGAGAAUAAAUGAGGAAUUUUUUAUUUUUUAUUUUUUAACAUCCAGUAGUACUUUUUGCUCGUUCACGUUGGAAUGUUUUAGCUCAGAGAAUCAGAAUAAUACUUUAAUUUACUUCCACCUUUGUCUUUGGUGCAUUGGUUUAAUGACAAUAUCCACUUAUUUUCAUCAAGAAUACAAAUGCAUCCAUAUUUUAUGACUAUAUCUAAAUCUGUGAGUGUAAGUCGACUCUACCGAAGUUAUGCUUCUUAAACAUAAUGAGUAAUUUGAGAUAGACUAUGUUAUUUGAAAUUAUUUGACUCUUAUGUAAAUCAAGUUAAUAUGUUCCGUUUUACUUUAGAAUGUGAUUAAGUUAGCGAUUCACGGCGUUAUGUGAAAAAUAGGAAUCCUUCUCAAAAUUUAGCUUCCCGUAUUCAAAUGUUAUUCAAGAUACGGUUUAAUCUUUACUCCUAAGCAUUGUUUAAAAUACUUUUUGCGGCUUUCAUAGCAAAUUCUACCUCAUGCGAGGCUUUUAUAAAAUGCCUCAAAGCUAAAACCUUGAGGCACAUUCGUGAGGCUUACACCUCGAGGGGAAUAGAAUAUGUGCUUGUUUGUCUUGUAUUUUCUUGAUAUUUUGUUAUUGAUCUUAGCAUUUUUGGACAUUUCUUUAUAAUCUAAAAUAUUUUAUGAUUUUAUUUUUUUUAAAUUUUCUUUUCUGUCUCUUAGGGGAUGGAGAAUACACCAUGAUGGGUUGUGAAGGAUAUGACAAAGAACGAGAAGCAGCUAAGAGUGAUGAAGUGGAAGACUUUGCUAAUUUCCUAAAAAUCCUAUUUUACCUUUGUUUCAUGAUUACUAACUCGAGAACUUAUUAUUUGAGAUGAUAUAUAAUUUAUUAUAAUCAUAUUUUUGCAUUUUUACAGCACUUUGAAUAUUUUAUUAAUUUUUCUAGAGACCUGCGUAUCGCCUCACAAAGAAAAAAGAUGCCUCGAUCAGCACAUGACGGAGCAUUUUCAAAUUAUGCCUUUUCUAUUCACUUCAAGGGAUGGGAUCCCACUGUGCACAUUGGAGAGAAUUUAAUGUUGAAAAUGCAUUUAUCAUCAUCCUCCAUUUUAGUUUUUGGGUUCUAAAAAAGAUUAAGAAGUUUUAUUUUAGAUGAUUAAAUCACAAAUUUCAACUAGAGUUCAAUACAUACUAGAAAGGUUCCAUUUAACAUUAUAAUACUUGUGAUGAGGCUUACCUUUUUUAACUAGAUGUACUGUUGUUCCCAACAUAUUAAAUUAAAUGUUAAAUGACAAUGACUAUAUUAAAAAUAUUUAUGCUCAACAAAUAUCUGAAAUAUGCAACAACGAAAAGAGCGUCGUGAAAUCAUAAAUGUGUAUAAAACGCUUAUCGUGCCAUUAAACUUGAUAAUUAUUGUUAAUUUGAUGGAUUUCUACAUAACUGUAUUGUAAAUAUGAUAUUUACUGAAGACAAAACUCAGACUUGGAUGUAUUUGUAGCGAAAAUGGAAGGUUUUUGAGUUUUAAUUGGAGUUGAUUCUAAUCAAUAUAAGGCUAAUUAAAAUGUAUGUGAUUGAUUAGAAGUAUUGAGAGAGCAGUCAAAUGAAAUGCACAACUAUUGAGUGAAAUUUAAUAUUUUAAAAAAUUGGAGACUAAGUUUUACAAUUUCAAAACCUUCAGAAGACUAAUUUCGAAUUAUUAGAGAAGUUUUGGAGACCAACAAGUUAGUGAUCAAUGAAAUAUUUAUGGCAUCAUGAUAAGGGUAAGGCAGCAUAGUCGGUCAUGUGGCGAGGCAAUGAGGCUUGUGCUUCAGGCCCAAAAUCGGAGGGGACCUCAUUUUUUGUCCAAGAUUUUUUUUAAUAUUAAAUGAAGUAAAAGGAAAUAUGUUUUUCAUUCCUUUUUCUAUCCUGCGACUGCUCCCUAUCUAUUUUAUCUAUCUAAACAAUCCUCACUAACCAUUUUUCCAUCCAAAGCCCACCAAAAGUACAAUCCUGUUGGUUAUAUUUAUCUCUCAUUCUUGAAAUUUCAGCAUGUCAAAAUGCAGAUAUUGAUGGCGUCAAUAUUGGUGAGAGGCCAUGGCUUUGAAUUUUCUUUCCCCAACUGAAAUCAUGUUUCCCUUUUUUCUUGGACACUUCUAAAUCUUCUUACAACCUUAAUCUCCUCAAAAACCAAGGUAAAUCCCACCCCCACAAAUCUCUUUCUUUAUGACAAUUUCGGUCUCGAUUAGUUCACAAGAUUAAAUGGCCAAUUCUCCUCCGGACACUUGGGUUGGGCAAAGCAGGAUGUUUAAGCUGCUUCGGGCGCUAGCUUAAGGAGAGGGCUUUCUUUAAGUUAAGGCAUUCGGGAAGUAGGAGAGUGAGCAAAGUUCUCUAGGAAGUCAGCCAUUGGUGUCUUUAUUUGAAUUGUUAAUUAUACUCAUGUUAGAGUUUAUUAUUUUGUGUUGUGGAUGUGAUUUUAAAGAAGUGUAGUCGCGUGAACUGCGUUGAUAUAUAAUGGGGGAUUGAUAUAAAGGUAGUGGGUAAUUUCACUUUUUAUUUUGGUUAAUGACAAUAUAAAUAUAGGGAUUAGUAUAAUUAUAAGCUUAUUCCCCGUGAAAGCAGAAAUAGUAGGAACACUUUUUUACUUUGGCUAAAAUAAGCGAAAAGCUACUUUUUACUUCAAGUUUUGAGGUGUUUUAUACCAAAGUGAAGUAACAAAAGUAAUUGAAGUAUUACAAUAUUUGAAGAUAUUGAAUGUUUGUUUCCCAAAUACUUAUUGUUUCGCGCGGGUUAGUCGCUAACAAUUAAAAGGGAUCAGACGAUUGUGUAAGGGACAAACCUCUUGAGACAAAGUCCCAAAAAGGGGUGUUCUUUUAUUGGCGAUGACUUUACAAUUGGAAAUGAAAAACAACGUGCCUCCAAGGGGCGCAAGCACACGAGUUAUUGAAAGAAAAGUGUUUAUGUCUAAAAACUAAGGAAAUGAAAAUUACAUAUUCUCUGUUUGAGAGUUUUGGAUUCGGUCUUUUGCUUCUAUGUCCUUUCUCCCUUUUAUACUUCAUAGACGAUCUCUUUGUGAUUAACUACUCUAAAAACUGCUUGAUCGUCCUAUAACUACCCACUUUCUUCGUAGUGGCCAUUUUGUCAUGAAAACUACCUUUUAACUGCUGCCAUUACCUUUCAUCGUUCAACAGCUUUCGAUUGAAUUCCUUGAAUCGUGGAACGUGAAAGGGCUGCUUCAACAACUGCUUUGAUAACUGCAUUUCUUGAUAACCACGACGCGUUAUGUUUGUUGAUACCUUGGGCGACUUGAAGGUUUGGGCAAGAAUAAAAUAACAGCUUUGGGCGACCUUAUGACACUCUAUUCGUUCAGAUUCUGGGCGACUUGCAAACUUGGGCGAUGGCGUUACCGCAUUCUUGGGCCCCCUUAUUUGGGCUUCACCUUGAUUUGUUCAAUUGUACUUCGUUCUUUGGGCUAUCUGAUUUGGGGAUCCUCCAAUUGGGCUUUACUCCUUGGGCUGUUCGAUUUGGGCUGAAUUUUUAUGUGUCAACAAUUACCCCCCAAUAUGGUAGAAUUAAUAAUAAUUAUUGAAUUUUGCCAUAUUUGCUUUGUGUUUCCAGCAACGUUUGAAAUUCCCAAGAAUUUCAAUCAUUGUUUCCUUCUAUAACUUGAAAAGGUGCGUCGUUUUGCAAACCCUUAUAAACCCCAAACACGCCAUUUCACUGCUACCAAACCACGCCUCAUAUUUUUUGCAUCUCUUUCACGAUUCACUGUUCAUCUUUUGCUUCCUUGCUACGUAACCCUGAAAAGCUUCGUUCCUUCUCCAAUGGCUGCUUCACAAUCUCAAGCUAGCGAUUCCUUUAGUUUUGAUGAUUUUCAGAGACUUCUGAGUCGCCCAUACAUAACCCCAAGUUUUCUCGCACCCGCCGAUGUUGGACGUAAUGAGUUCUACUUGGGUCCUUUUUUCAACAAUGCAGAGGCAGUUGAACAGGCGGCGGUAGGUUAGUUGUUUCCUUGCACUCAGGGUCCUCCAUUCCUGAACUCUCUACCGUUGGGGCCACUUCGCGAAAGAGGUAUUCGCACUUGGCCUAAAUCUGAUGUAGCUUUUCGUAGGUGGCAUGCUCCUCUUGUGGGUCAUGGUCCUACUAAGGCACUUUUUGAUAGCGCUAGGAUUUCUGAUUUAUUAGAAGUCUCUAUUCGCUCCCCUACUUUUGAUUCAGCACUCUUUUCGAUUGCUUUGAGUUUUUGGUCCCCUGAGUAUAACACCUUUAUUUUCCCUCUUGGCCCCAUGUCUAUUACGUUAAGGGAUGUUGGGGCCCUGGUGAAUCUACCACCUUUGGGCGAUACCAUUUUCCCAGUUAUCUUAGUUUCUGGUGACGCCCCAAAGUUUGGUAAAAACUAUACCGACUCUUAUUCAAGCCUGCAGACCCUCCACAAUCAUUCGAGUGCUGAGCCUACCCAUACUGAGCGAGUGACCUUCCUUUUAGUUUGGCUUUGUAAAUAUAUUUUGUGCGUGCCAAGUAUAAAGCCCUCUCUGAGUUAUUUACCUAUAGCGCACGAAUUAGCGCGUGGCAGGCCUUUGAAUUUAUGUUCUUUGUUUCUAGCUGCCCUUUAUAGAGGCAUGGCCUCUAUCCAAGCUCAAUUGAAGAAUGGCGCAUCUCCUACUGGCAGUGGACCUCUUUGGUUUACUCAACUGUGGUUGAGAUCCUAUUUUCCAUCGCUUGGUGCUCCAUCCAUUUCUCGUCCUUCUGCUAGCUGUUACGGGCUAGCUAUGGAGCCCCUUACUCCUGUAAAUAUGUCCAGAAGGGACAUUUUUUCAUUCUUUUAUUCUUUAGAUUCAAUCUCUUCCUUUUUUUCUUUUCCUCAUUUUUUGACUCCAAACUAUGUACAUCCCCCUUCCACCAUAGAUAGCGCGAGCACCUCCCUGCUCAUUUGGAUUCAAUUUUUAACCGGAAGGGAGCUAUUUCAUGAUAUUCUAACUGGGACUAAUGCUAAGGCAGGGGUAGAGAUUUAUGCUCCCCAAUUUUUUGCUCGCCAGCUUGGUUUUGGCCAAACUUGCCCUGUUCCUCUUUGCUAUUCAAAGAAUUUAGUUGACCGUUUUCAUACCAUUACUAAAGCGGAGGCAGAGGCUAUAGAUGCUCGUAAUCUCCUUUUAACCAGUCAUUUUUCAUUGGCCCCUUUCAAUUCUAGCCACGCCAUUCACCCUCUUUGUCUAUUCGGAGCCCCUCUCUUUCUCGUCGCACUAAACAAUCUGCUCGUCCAUCUUCUUCCCUCCCCGCCAAGCCUACUACAGCCAAGAGUGCUCCAAGCCGUAAACAGCCAGCCUCAGCAUCUCCCAUUCUGGAGGAUGAUGUCGAUGAUGAUGACCCUCUUAUUGUCAGGAGGAAGGUAAUUAAAUUGGUUUACUUACAAGUAUACUUUUCCACACUUGAAACUUUUCUGUGUGCUGAUGAUCUUUUGGAUUUCUCAGAAAAGUUCAGCCUCUCCUUUAAAGGCUUCGACAUCGACAACUCCUGCUCCAUCAUCUCCUACUGAGGCUACUUCAUCCAAACCGGUUGAUGAGGGGGCUACGCUUAAAGAGACAUCUUCAGUCCCAGAAUCCUCAUCACAACCCAUGGAUGAGCUACCUUCUUCCCAGGGCAUCAACCCCCCAAACAUCGAAGCAGAAGGUAAUUCAGUUUUUUGAUGUCUUACCUUUGCUCGUGCUAUUGGUUUCUGAUUUGUUGCUCUUGAACUUUGCAGAUACUCCUAUGAGUCCGCCCGUUGUGGCAACAUCUUCUCCCUCGGACAAGGGGAAGUCCUCACGAAUGGAUGAGUCGUUGGUGGCAAGCUUAGUUGAGGGCCCGCCAUCUUCUACGAUUGUCGACGAGGUAGUCUUUGCUUCAUUUCUAUUUCCACCUUGUUUGUUGUAGUGAGGAUUUUUAAUAUUGGCAAUCUUCUUUGCAGGAUGCUGACAGGAUUGUGCGUUCUAUCCAGGACUUGUUCGCUUCUUGGGGGCAAGUCCAGAUGCCUCGCCCUGCUCCAUCUGAUUGUCCUGCUGCUUCUUCAGAAGAAGAUUUGAAGUUCCUGAAGGAGUCGAUAUUUGAGUACGUAUCCUUCAUGGAUAUGGAUAUUGGAAGGGCUAGUGCUGCCAGACACAAGGAUGAACUUGAGCACUUGAGUGCGAAGUUGGAGCAAGCACUGACGCUUCCGUCGCUCAAUCUUUCUGCCAACUUUAAAGCGACGUUGAAGGUCAUCCACUCCUAGGUCCUUUCUAUGCUGGCCAAGAAUGCUGAACUAAAGGCCAAGCGUACUCAAUAUCUUCGAGCCGUAGCUGAGAAAGAGUCUUUGCGUAUGGAGAUUAACAAGGUUAAGGACAAGUUGAAAGAAAUCUCUUCCGAAGUCAUGAUUGAAGACUCUUUGAUGGUUAACUUUGCUGCUCAAAUGAGGGAACUUCAAGCCAAAAUGGACGACUGCAGGGCGAGGAUGGCUGCUAAAAAGCGCAACGCCUCUCAGGGAAUUGAGCGAACUAAGUCCUUGGUCGAGCAGUACAAGAAGUUGGAAGUUGAUGAUGAUGACGUCGCGGCUGAAUUGAACAUCACUUCUUCUCGACAGCACGAGGAUUGGGAAAAACUUAGGGAACGAAUUCGUUCCAUAUGUGGUAGACUGUAAUUAAGACACGUGAUGUCUUUUUUUUCUUUUGUAAUUCGAUUUUUCCCUUUGUAACUUUGUUCAUCAUUAAUGAACAUUAACUUCUUGUGCAUUUAUUUGACGUUUAUUUUUUAGUCAUCAAUUCUUUAAGCACUUAACUGCUUUGCACUAAGAAUCUUAUCCAUUUUCUUUUGAUAUUUCCACCACUUUUCCCAAGACUUUGGGCUAUUUAAUUCCGUUUAUUAGACAGAAAUGUGGCUGUUCAUAGUCUGUCUCUUCAUCUUCACCCCCCUAUAAAUGCUUCCUAUUUUUCAUCUUCUAUCUUCAUCUCUUCAUUUUCUUCUUCGAAACCAAUUUGCUGCCAUUUCUUGGCAUUCUGACGAUCAAUCUGAUCCAAAAAUGGACUGUUUAGUCCGCCCACCUUACUAUUUACCUUGAUGUCACCUUUGGUAUGGGAGGUAUAGGAAAUAUUUUCUGGCCAGCAGCGAAGUUCUUUCCUGCAAAAUUAAUCCCAUCGUCUCUUUGUUCUUCACAAGGAAUCAAUGAUGGAAGGCAAUUUUUGGGCUGCUUGUGGGCCACUUUGCUUGCUGAGAGUGCUUCUCAGCUUACCUGCUGAGAGUGCUUCUCAGCCUCUUUGCUCGCCAUUACAGCGUUGCAUUUAGGAAGGUGGUGAGGCCAGUACACCCUCUUACUCGGCAAUCCCACCAUUGCAGCGAUGCAUUUAGGAAGACGAUGUGAAGCUUACUCAGCGAUCAACCGGGAGAUCAUCUUACUUUAGUUGUAUUUUGUAGCACGUCCAUUAUUUGUAUCUUUUGUAUUCUUGUAAUGAACGUUUGAUAAUAAAGAACUUUAUUCGAACGUAUUUCGCUCUGUCCUUAUUAUGUUUUGAUCGUCCAAAAUGUUUGGUUAUGUUUUUAUCUGUUCACAUUCCCAUAAAGAAGGAACAUAUUUUUUCAAAUAUUUGCCGUUAAUGAAUCUUACGUGCUUGGUGCCGUCUAAAUCUUCCAAGUGGUACGCCCCAUUGGGUAACACACUGUUUAUUUUGUAUGGUCCUUCCCAAUUGGGCGACCACUUCCCAUACUUUGGAUCUUUGCUAUCCAAAGGGAGUAUCGUUUUCCAAACUAGUUCACCCAGGCUGAACGACUUGGCUAUAACUUUUUUAUUAUAAAACUUAGCCAUUCUUUGCUUUUGAAAUUGCAACCUAUCUAAGACGUCCAACUUCAAUUCGUCUAAACUCAACAAAUUUUGAACUAGUGAUUCGGCAUACUCAUCGUCAUUCAACUUAUGUUGCAAGCACACUCGAAUAGAUUGCACGUUGAUUUCCAUAGGCAAGACGGCUUCCUGUCCAUAAAUAAGUUGGAAAGGAGUAACUUUGGUACUUGACCGAGGUGAUGUUCUAUAAGCCCAUAAGGCAUUGCUCAAACAUUCGUGCCAAUUUCUGGCAUUUUCAUCUAUCAUCUUUCUGAUGAUAUUUUUUAGAAUCUUAUUAGAAGAUUCCGCUUGUCCGUUGGAUUGAGUGUAGUAUGGUGUGGAGUUUACUAAUUUAAUUCCAAACUCGCUCAAAAAGUUGUUUACUUGAUCCCCAUUCAAAGAUGUUCCGUGAUCUACCAUUAAAGUUUGUAGAAUCCCAAACCUAUAAAUAAUGUGAUCACGGAUAAACUCUAUAACAUUCUUCUGGGUGAUUUCUUUCAAAGGUACUGCCUCUACCCAUUUGGUGAAAUAGUCAGUUGCAACUAUAAUAAAAGUAUGUUGCUUGGACGAUGGGGGGUAGACCUUCCCUAUCAGAUCUAUCGCCCAACUUUCGAACGGCCAAGGUUUAAUAAUAGGUGCCAUCUCUCGUGCUGGCGCCCUUUGUAUUAGACCAUGCUUUUGGCAUGCUAAACAACUUUUUGCAUACUGAACGAAUAGUUCUCCCAUCUUUGGCCAAAAGUAUCCACUCCUAAUAAUUAACCAUCUCAUCCUUUGGCCAGCUUGAUGAGCUCCACAUAUCCCUUCGUACACUUCAGCCAUGAUCGUCUUGGCUUCUUGCAAACUUACACACUUUAGUAAUACACCAUCAGGGCGUUUUUUAAACAACUCUUCAUCUAUUAGUGUGUAAUUCAGCAAACAUAGCUUUUUUUUCCUACUAAUCCCUCCAUUAGGUUCUUUAAGGAACCCUUUAAUCUCUGUUCUCCAAUCUACUGCAUCUCCAUCUUGUAUACAGUGAAGUUCAAUUUUCCUCGCCCUUCUUUGAGUUACGGGCAAUAUGGUUCCAUACUCAUAAGUAGAUUUCCAAUUCAAGACCUUUGAGAACCCUGAAGCCAUUUAGGCUAACUCAUUUGCCACGUCGUUAUAUAUCCUAUUAACACAUUGAAGUUCUACUUGAUCAAAUUCCUCUAAUAAUUCUUGGGCGAUCUCAUAUUGACUUAUAAUGGAAUCACUUUGGCAUUUGAAAUCACCGAUCAAUUGAUGUACCACCCAUAUCUAUCAUUAGUUCUAGGCCUACAAUUAAGGCUUCAUAUUCGACUUGAUUGUUGGUGCACAUUCUGUCUAAGGUGAAUGCAAACUUGUAGCAAAUCCCUAAAUGAUUAAUCAAUGCUACUCCUACUCCUGCACCUUUAGAGGUUUUUGACCCAUCGAAAUACAACACUCAAGGUUUUAAUUCGAACGAAUUGAUUUCUAAUUCGAUUUCUUCAGGCAUGUCAAGGCAUGGAUGAUCGGCUAGAAAGUUAGCUAAAGCCUGAUUUUUGACUGCCUUUUGAGGUAUAUAUUGUAUUUCGAACUCUGAUAAAGCUAGUGUCCAAAGGCCUACCUUUUGGUGUAAAAUAGAGCACGAGAACAUAUACUUAACUAAAUUUACUUUAGAAAUUAAAUAAACGGUUACGGGCCGUAAAUAAGUCCUUAAUUUUGUGCAUGUGAAAUACAGUGCAAGACACAAUUUUUCAACGGUAGAGUAAUUACAUUCACAUUUCGUUAACCGUCUACUUAAGUAGUAAAUUGCGCUUUCUUCACCAAAUUGGUCUUCCUGUGCGACCAUUCCAGCUAUUGAUUCUUUUUCAGCCGAUACAUACACUUUCAUUGGCCGUCCUUGGAUUGGUGACACCAACACUAGUGGACUUGAUAGAUAUAUCUUCAGGCUUUCAAAAGCCUUUUGAUGUUCUUCUUUCUAGAUAAAUUCGUCCUGAUUUUUCAGCUUUAAUAGCGGGGAAAAGACUUUAAUUCGUCCUGCACAGUUAGAAAUAAAGCGUCUUAAAAAAUUUAAUUGGCCUAUAAACCUUUGCAACUCCUUUUUGUUGCUAGGUGGUUUGGCUUCUAAGAGAGCCCUUGCUUUAUUUUUAUCAAGUUCGGUCCCUCUCUUGUGUACUAAGAAACCAAGAAAGUUCCCUACAUUAACACCAAAUGCACAUUUCAAGGGAUUCAACUUUAGCUUAUAUUGCCUCAUUCGUUCAAACAAACAUCUUAACUGUUCGAAAUGAUCCUCUUCUUUAAUAGACUUGACUACUAUGUCGUCUACAUACACCUCAACAAAUUUGCCUAUCAUAUCAUGAAAGAUUAAAUUCAUUGCCCUUUGAUAAGUUGCCCCUGCAUUUUUUAGGCCGAAAGACAUAACUACCCAUUCAAAACAUCAUAGAGACACAGGGCAUCUAAAGACAGUUUUGUGUAUGUCUUCUUCAGCUAUAUAAAUUUGAUUGUAUCCUGAAUACCCAUCCAUGAAAGAAUACAUGACAUGUCCGGCAGUUGAAUCUACUAAAGAAUCCACCGUGGGCAUUGGAUAUUCAUCUUUGGGUGUAGCUAUAUUUAAUUUCCUAAAGUCUAUACACACCCUUAGUUUACCAUUCUUUUUUAGUACUGGCACAAUAUUCGACAACCAUUCAACAUAUUUGGCUGUUCUUAUAAAACCUGCUUUCAAUAAUCGCACUAUCUCUUUCUUAAUCUCAGAGAGUACAUUAGGAGCAAAACGCCUAGGGGGUUGCCUAUGAGGUUUAAAAUUAGGCUUAGUUGGUAACCUAUGUUCCACCAAGUCUCUAUCUAAACCAGGCAUUUGUUCAUAUUUCCAAGCAAAACAAUCUUUGUACUCUUUUAACAAAGCGAUUAAUUUGUUACUAACCUCUUGGUCGAGCAUCUGGUUGAUGAACGUUGGGUGAUCUUCUCCUUCAUCGCCAAUAUUUACUUGGAUCAGAGGGUCUUGUGCUUGAGCGUAUCCAGGUUUGGCAAUCCGCAUCACUUCGUCGCCAGUUCUUUUGUAAGUACUUCCUCUUCCAAAAAGUCCACCUUGUUGACUUCUCGGCCAUUGCUUUGUUCUAACUCGAAUACUGCCAACUUGUCCUUCAGCGCUUUUAGGGCAGUCUCUUCCUUCGCUUUGUCAUUGCAUUCCUUAUUGAAAGCCAUCAGUCUGGCUUUGAAGGCCUGAAUGUCGGCCAUUUACUUUUGUAACUUAAAGUCCAUUCAAGACUCCUUAAUUAUUCUUUUGCCAAUUACUGACUCUUCCAGGGCCACUAUAUUUGGCCUCAUCUGUUUGAACAUCUCAGUGAGUGCGUCCACUGAGAAUGGUUCUUCGCUUUGCGCGACAACCUGAGUUUCUUCCCCGUCUUGUACUACUCUGACAUGUCCAUAGUUUCCUUCGUACAUGAACUUUUCCACCGAGUUUGCUUCCGUGACAAAGGCCUAUGAUCGGCCUGUACCACCUCUGCUUCGCCUUUGUCAUUCCAAAAAAUCAGGCAUUGAUGGAGCGACGAGGGUAUACAGCGACUUCCUUGUAUCCAAUCUCUUCCUAGGAGCACGUUGUAACUAGUAGGACCAUCUAUUACAAAGAAGACAGUGGUCCUAGUCGUCGUACCUAUAGUUAUGUCUAAUGGCAUAACUCCCUUAGCUGAAGUUGCUCCUCCAUUGAAGCUAGUGAGAAUGACUUCUGUAGGAAUCAUGUCACCCUCUAUUUUUGCGAACUUUCUCAUCAUCCUAAAUGGAAUAGUGUUUAUAGCUGCUCCAUUAUCGACAAACACUUUUGCCACUGGGACGCCGUUAACUAGAGCUUUAACGUAUAACGGCCUCAAGUGUUUAGUCAAUUUCAUGGCUGGCCGUUUAAAAAUAACCUUUUCGGCAACCUCUAUUUCUACCUCUUGCUUGUUUUCUGUCGAAUUAUCCCUGUGUGAUAAGUCGACGUGCAGUAUGUCACGCUGAUCCUCUGUCCCCUGAACUUCCUUCUUACUUUUUUCUAAUGCUUCCUCAUCAGUUAUCCAACCUGUGGGAGGGGGCAUUAUUCUUGGAGGUGACCCAUACUUUUCAGAACGAGGCACUCUCUUCUUCCUUUUGGGUGUCCCGUACAAUACGUAGAAAUCGAAAGGACGCCCAGAUGGCUCCCCCAACAAGUCUACUUCGCAAACUCCCUCUUGAUGUAGUUGCUUAAACAGAGUAUUACGCGAUACUCCUCUCUUUUUCCUUUCUGCUUCUAGAUCGAUUUCUUCUUCAAUGUCCGUCAUCCCAUCGUCUUCCUCGUUGUUGUAGGCCUCUCCAGAAGUCUGGCCUUCUUCACAUACCAACACGCAGGCUUCUCCUUCGUUGUCCUCCCUCUCUUCUUCCUUUUCCUUAUUCUUGAAUUCAUUGGCCAGUAGGUAAUUAUUGGCCACGACAGGAGGCAACGUACCGAAUUGGAUAGCAAGGGGCUGAUCUGGAUCUUCUUCAUCCCUCUUGUCCCUCUCAAACCUUGAUCUCCCAGAAGAGGUUUCUGGCAGUUCCUUCAUUGAUUCAUCUGUACCGGUUUCUUUAUUACCUUUGAGGACGUUUUGAUUGGCUACCUUAAGUAGUAUAGGCGCUUUAGGAUGUGGCAUUCCUUGUUGCUGCCUCAUCAUCCGUCCGUAGUUUCGUUGGAAACGCCUUUGUUGGGUUCUAGUCAUCUCAUCGAAGGGUAUUGCCCUUCCUGCAUUGUACUGGAAUGAAUGCCAUACAUUUGGCCGGCGAGGUUGCGGCCUAAAUGUUCUUCCAGUAUCUGCUGGUUUGAACUGCCUUUCAAAAGGCGGUCCUCUAUAGAAUGAUGUACCUCGCCCUCUACCAGGCUGAAUGUUUGGGAAGAAGGUAGGGCGAUGAGGAUGCUGCCAUAUCCCUGGUUUCUCCGUGUUUUCAUUUACUUCCCUUUUACACCUUGCACACAGGACGUUUUCGUCCUUUUUUGGUUCUUUUCCUUUGAUUCGUUCAAAGACGCUGGGAUGUGGUUUAGGAUCUUCUUUUCCGUCAUCUACGACCAAUUUGAAUUUUGGUAACUUGUUCUUGAAUCCAGAUGUUACCAUGUUUACUCCAAGUGGUUGUGGGAAAGGAUUCUCGUCCACUGCCAUCUUUUUCUUAUCAUCGAACGUAAUUCGUCCUGAUUCAAUAGCAUCCUGCAAUACAUGACGGAAAACCAAGCAAUUGUUAGUCAGAUGUGACCAUGUAUUAUGCCAUUUACAAUAUUUUUUACCCUUAAUUUGUUCAGGGUUUGGCAAUUUGUGCUUAUCGCUCAAUCUUAUUUGCUUAUCCCUAUAUAAUUUAUCGAAUAUGAGGUCAGCUUUGGUCACAUCGAACGAGAACGUUCUAGCCUUUAUGUUUCCAUCCUUCAUGGGCUCAUCUUUGCCCGAUGGUCUAGGCUUGGCCAUUAUGGGACAAGUAUAUAUAUCCACUUUGACCAAUUCGGCCAAACACAUUUCGGCCUGAUCGUAUGACUCGUCGUCGAUGGUAUGAACGUCAAAAUUUGGGUCUUUGUAAUAAGUCCCUUUACUAGAAUUUUUCAUUUGUUCUUCUUCUCUUAUCAGUCGCUCAUACCUAAUCACAUUUGCACUCAACUGGAAAAGGUCAGGGAAUUCCUUGUCCUGGAACUUCUUUUUUAAAUCAAAGCUCAAGCAGCCUUGAGCGAUCUUGACAAAUUCUUUUUCAGGCAGAGGUACAAAACACUUGCUUCUUGCUGUCUUGAACCUUUGGAAAAAACUUUCUGCACAUUCAUUUGGCAUUAGACGUAAAUUCGCCAAAUCGGUCAAAGUGACUUCAGACUCAGUUUUAUAAAACUGAGCGUGAAACAAAUGUUUCAAUUGUUGCCAUGUUUGAACAGAGGUCGCUGGCAGGUUGAUGAACCAGGAGAAAGCUACUCCUGUUAAUGAACUAGGGAAAAGUCUCAUUUUAUGGUAAUCGGUUACAUCACCACUUUGCAAUGUGAAUCGCCCUAUGUGUUCUAGAGUAGACACCUCUCCUAAACCGAUAAAUAGUGAGAAUUCUGGCACUUUGUACCCUCUAGGCCAUGGAUAUGCUUGAUCUACCCAAUCAGGAUAUGGCUUUGUGUACGUCGGCCUAAUGACGGGACGCACCCCAAAAGCCAUCUGAUCCUGUACGAUUUCCAUAAUCUGGUUCCUCAACAUGACGUUGGGAUCAUAUGGAAUUCCUACAGGUUGGUUAACCGGUUGGUUUGCAUGAGGCCUGAUGUUUGGUCCUUGAUUGGCAACAAAAUUACCAUGAUUAGGACCAUUACCAUUAGCCUGAACAUCUACUCCCUCGUUACCACGUGGACCAUUCUGUCCAUUGUUUAGGACAUUAUCCCUCGCGUUUGGAUUAGCCCCCAAGUUAGGCAUACCACUACCAUUGCUUUGAUUUGGUACUGUAGUACCCCCUUGGUUUGAAGUAGAGGGACCAGAAAGUGGUUCUACCCCUUGACUCGGAUUUAGGACCGAUGGAUUAUGUCCUACAAUUGUCCUAAUUUGAAAGUGAUUUGUAAGAGGUAUAGCCGGUUGACAUAUUUGGCCUACUAACUUGUUCAUUGUUUCAUUCAACGUCUUUAGUUGUUUGGCCAUGUUGUCAUAGUGUACAUUCCCAUUUUGUGUAAGUCUUUCCAUAUUAUGAAUACUUCGAAGAUUUACCUGUUCAACGACGUCUUGCGUGAGUUCUCCAAGUAAUGCACGCAUGGUUCGAGGACUCAACUCCGUCAUUGGUUCGUAACGACUGUUACUGCUCUGAUUUUGUCCUUCUGUUCGUGGAGAGGCAUGCUGCUCCUCAUAUCGCUCGAUUACAGAUUGGAUUCCUCCCUGACUUGCUGCUUCCUUAUCGGAUCUCUGAGGCAUAUCGUUUACCCUUUUGUACUUUCAACACCUAACACCACUGUCCCACUGGGCGUGCCAAAUUGUUUCGCGCGGGUUAGUCGCUAACAAUUAAAAGGGAUCAGACGAUUGUGUAAGGGACAAACCUCUUGAGACAAAGUCCCAAAAAGGGGUGUUCUUUUAUUGGCGAUGACUUUACAAUUGGAAAUCAAAAACAACAUGCCUCCAAGGGGCGCAAGCACACGAGUUAUUGAAAGAAAAGUGUUUAAAUCUAAAAACUAAGGAAAUGAAAAUUACAUAUUCUCUGUUUGAGAGUUUUGGAUUCGGUCUUUUGCUUUUAUGUCCUUUCUCCAUUUUAUACUUCAUAGACGAUCUCUUUGUGAUUAACUACUCUAAAAACUGCUUGAUCGUCCUAUAACUACCCACUUUCUUCGUAGUGGCCAUUUUGUCAUGAAAACUACCUUUUAACUGCUGCCAUUACCUUUCAUCGUUCAACCGCUUUCGAUUGAAUUCUUUGAAUCGUGGAACGUGAAAGGGCUGCUUCAACAACUGCUUUGAUAACUACAUUUCUUGAUAACCACGACACGUUAUGUUUGUUGAUACCUUGGGCGACUUGAAGGUUUGGGCGAGAAUAGAAUAACAGCUCUGGGCGACCGUAUGACACUCUAUUCGUUCAGAUUCUGGGCGACUUGCAAACUUGGGCGAUGGCGUUACCGCAUUCUUGGGCCCCCUUAUUUGGGCCUUCACUUUGAUUUGUUCGAUUGUACUUCGUUCUUUGGGCUAUCUGAUUUGGGGAUCCUCCAAUUGGGCUUUACUCCUUGAGCUGUUCGAUUUGGGCUGAAUUUUUAUGUGUCAACACUUAUAUUGCUUACAAAAUUUUGUAACCAUACCAUUUGCAGGAAAAAGUUUCUCGAAAUUGAAGUUGAACAAGACUUACCUCCAAUCAACAAUAUCACAAGAAAGAUUGAAUGACGUGAAUAUGUUAUCAAUAGAGAAAGAAAUGGUUGAACGGCUAAAUUAUUCAGAUUUAAUUAAUGUUUUUGCCUCUAAAAGAGCAAGAUGAAUAAUAUUUAAUUAAUUGUUUGAAACAUUGUUGAUUUUAUUAUAUGAUAAUAUAAAUCUUUUGUAUAAACAUAUUUAUUUGUUGUUUUAAUGUUAGGUUUUAGGUUAGUAAUAGGUUGCAUAAAAUACUGUUGAAUUUUGCAUUUACAUUGACUUUGGAGGGCAUAAUUUAUGGAUUUCGCCUCGAGUCUCGACAAUCAUAGAAUCGGCCCUAAAGGCAGCCAUCGUAUCAUAUCCAUUUUCUCGUAAAGGAUGCUCACAGAUAGAUUGUAGGGCAUAUAUUUUCUCAACAAAAGGUUUCAUGACAGUUGUCUUCCAGUUAGAUAGUUGUGUAAUUACUAAUUAUUUCUAUAUGUACUUAAACUUCACAUGAAUCAAAGUUAAGAGCAUUUUCAAUACUUCAUCAAAAGUGACCAUUUAUGUAAUGUCUGUAAAAAGUGACAAUUUCUUUAUACCUUUUCUUUCAAAAAAAAUAAAAUUGAGUUUGUGAAAUUCUAAUGUACUUGGCACCAGCAUCAAGGUCUUGGUGGUCUAAUUGGAAGAAAAACGAUUCUCAUUUCACAUCCUUAAGCAUCAUUCUUUCGAUUACAACAACAUUUGAAUUAAUGAACUAACGAUAUAUUCACAGGAUUAAUGUUGAUUUCCAACUGCUUCAAUACAUCAAACAAAAAUCAAGUUUUAAUUUCCAAACGAAAAACUUCUUUUUGAUCGAGCAAAACUUUAUUUUGAUUGAAAAAAACAAUUUCAACCUUUAAGGUGUGAAUCCACACAAAAUUGAAAAUUAUCAUUACAUGAAAAAGAAUAAUAUAAAUAAUAGUGAGAAUAUCUCUCUGACCGCUGCACAACUAAAAAUAAAAAAAUAAAAAAAAAUCAUUUCGUGUCUCACUACUACUAAUAAAGAAUUUAAAACAUGGAAAUAAAGAAUAAACAUAUUAGAGUUCCAUCGAAUUGCUAAGCAAACUAGUGUCCAGCUCCAGGGCUUGUGCCAGAUUCCUUAACUCCUCCAAGCGUGUAAGCAUUAGUAAAUUUGUUUCCUUCACCAGAUUUCUUAUUUCCUCCAAGCGUUUGAGCAUUGGACAAUUUGCGUUCGUCACCAAGGCUUGGACCAGACAUUUUAAUCCCUCCAAGUGUUUUCGCAUUGGUAAACUUCUGACCUUCACCAGGACUUGGACCAGACAUUUUAAUCCCUCCAAGUGUUUUCGCAUUGGUAAACUUGUGUCCUUCACCAGGACUUGGACCGGCCUUCACAGCAUUCAAGGACAAAUUAUAAAUCGAUGCACAAUUGAGAGGACGGGCCUCGACAGCAAACAUGACUGAAUAAAACAACAUAAGGAAGACGACGAAGAAACUGAUGUAUAAUUUCAUAUCUCUAGUUAGAAACAGACCCACAGAGUAGAGAGGAAAAGAGAAAUUGAAUAUGUGUUGGCUGUGGAUGAAUAGAGGAUUUGGAGACUAAUUUAUACUGUAAGAUUUCUUGACUAACAAGGAAGGAAAAGACUGCUGAUUUGCAAUACCAUUCAAAGAGAACGUGAGAAUUGAAAUAUUUAGAAUUGGAAUGGAACGUAUUUCUAAACGAACCUGCAAGUGAGGUUCAUAAGCAAAGAAAAUAAAAGAUUGCGAGUCUAAAUUGGAUAGCAUUUGUUUCUAAUUCAGUUCUCCUACGGUCUGCAUGCGUAAUGGAAAAAUGGAGUUCAAUUCUAUUUUUAGGACGGCGAAUAUGCACAUAUGUUUGAAUUCAAAUUAGUUACUGAGAUUAAAAAAUAUAUUUUUUCCUCAUACUAUUCAAUUGUCAACAAGUGUGAUAAAACCGGGCAUCCAAGACAACAUCGGCCGUCCAAUCUAGUCUAUCAAUUUGCAAUUUACACGUGUAAGGUUCCCAACCUCGUACAGGACUUAGCCACCAGUUGUUGGACCAUGCUGUGUAUGCAUGAAAACGUUGACACCCCUCACAUGUUGUUACACGUGGGUCUCUCUUCAUGUAAAGGGUAUAAAGCAUUGUGUACACUGGAGGUGUACAUAUAGCAUAACCCCCAAUUGUUUUUUAGGGGAAUUUAUAAACAAUUAAUUUAUAAAUAAGUAUAAAAAAGUUAUGAAUAAGUGAUUAAUAUUUGUGGGUGUAUUGAAAUAUGUGAUUGAUCAAUUUUUAAAUGAUAUAUAAAUUUGUUUCAAGGAGGCUGAGGUUUAAAAGUCAUAGUCGUCUUUUAUUUUCUAUAUUUUUAAUUUGUUGAGGAAUAGAUUGUAUUUAAUUAUAACUCUCACUCUUUUCAUUCGCUUUGAUUUAUGCAUAUAACAUACCGGUCAAGUAUCUCUGAAGAUCACUAUUAUAUGUAAUUUCCACUGUCUUGUAUGCAAAUUUUGAUUGAUUAUUAAGCAAAUUAAAAAUUUCUACUAAAGAAAUUGAGUCAAAUAGUCAACUUGUGGAUUAGUAGAAUUAGUGGAUUACCCAUUUAUCAUGGUAUGAGCUAUGCAGUGGAAGACAAUGGAUAGGACUCCUCUAGAAAUCAUACACAAUAUCAAUUAUUGCAGUCAGUAUAAAAUAACGAUUUGAUCUCAGGGGCUUGGAUCAUUACAUUAAAAUGUAUCGGUCAAGUAUGUCACAAGAUUACUAAUAUAUGUAAUUUCGACUUCACCUAUGAAAAUUUCGAUUGACUUUAAAGAAAAUUAAAAAUUUCUAUUAAAGUAAUUGAGUCUAAUAGUCAACUUACGGAUUAGUAGAAUCUAUAUAAGUACCCAUUUACCACGGUUCGUCAUAGAAGUCAAUAGAUAGGAUUCCUCUAGAAAUCAUACACAAUAACAAUUAUCGUAGUCAUUGUGAUAUAAAGAUUUGAGAACAGAGAUUCAGAUCGCUACAUAUAACAUAUCGAUUGGGUAUCUCUGAAGAUUUAUUAAGAUAUGUAAUUUUGAUUAUCACGUAUAAAAAUUUUGAUUGAUUUUAAAGUAAAAUAUAAAUUUCUACUGGUAAUUCAGUCUAAUAGUAUUGCCUGUCUUUUAAAUUAGAUUGCUCCAUUUUCUAGUUGACUGCCAAACGGUCCAAGUCCCCAAGGUUGAUUGUAAAGCCGUCUAAACUCAUCAAAAUAUCCAUGACGAAAAAUACACGGUCAAGAAUAAUUUGUAAUCUAUAAUCCAUAAUAUAUAUUAAAGUAUCACAUCAAGGGAGAAUCAUUUUUUUUGACGAUUUUAACCCUCAUACAAUUCAAUUAAUUCAAUAAUACAUUACUUUUCAUUUUUAGAUAUGUAAUAAAUGCUACAUAAUUAUUGUCCUUUAUGAAAUUUGUGCUCUUUUAUUGUUGAAGAUGCAAAAAGAGACGCCAGUACCAGAAAGUAAGAGAGCAGCACUUACCCUUCUAAGCUAAAGAUGAAAACAAGUUUCUAAUCAGCUAUCAUCUGGCUUCAUCGACUUUCAAUUGGGAGAACACUUCAUUAGGAUUUGCUUGGCUAGCAUCUGAGAAACUAUACGACAGGAGGGAAAGUUCAUCUUCUAUACAAGGAAUGCUUUGAGAAGGUAGUCGUUCAACAACAGGCAUAGGCAACUCCCAAGUAACUUCUGUGGUGCUGUCUUCAUAUGGUUCUCGAGGCACUGCAGUGUGUUGAAGCCGUAAAGCGUAUUCUAAGUCCCACAAGACGUCGACCAUAUUAGGCCUAUCGACUCCACAUUCUUGCAAACACCUUUCUACUGUAUCCCCAAAUUUCCUUAGCGAGUUGGGAUUUAUUUUUCCCACAAGCAAAGGAUCCACAAUUUUCUCUAGCUGUCCCUGCUUUUGCCAGGAUAUUCCCCAAUCAGCCAAGUUGAUUUGCUCCCGUGGAAGCAAGUUGUUUAUGACAGGUCUUGCACAAAGUACUUCAAGAAGUACCACACCAAAAGAGUACACGUCGGAUUUUUGUGUGAUUUCUAAGCAUCUGCAGUACUCGGGAUCAAGAUAUCCAAAGCUGCCUUUGACAUCAGUAAUUACAUGAGUUUGAUCCAGAGGACCUGAUCGCGAAAGGCCAAAAUCAGCAACUUUAGCCACAUAGUUUUCAUCAAGCAAGAUGUUUGUCGAUUUGAUAUCCCUAUGGAUGAUUGCCCCAUUAGAACCAGUGUGAAGGUAGUGAAUACCUUUUGCUGCACCAAUGCAAAUUUCAAGCCUUUGACUCCAAGAUAAUUGAGAAGGCGAAGUGGAUUUCUCCGAGUCGCCCCUCAAAAUGUACAGAUGAUCUCUUAAAGUACCUUUUUCCAUAAACUCAUAAACAAGUAUCAUUUCAGACCUUUCUUCACAAUAUCCAAUCAACGAAACGAGAUGCCGGUGGCGAAUUUUGGAUAAAAUCAUUAUUUCAGUAUGAAACUCGGGAAGGCCCUGUCCACUUCCUGGCUCACUUCUUUUUAUAGCCACUUUUUUACCAUCCCGAAGUAUUCCCUUGUAAACUUUCCCAAAACCCCCCUCACCAAUCAUCAAUUUGGAGUCGAAAUUUUUUGUGGCGUAGACAAUGUCAGACAAAGACACCUUCAAACCGAGGUUUAAAUCAGCAAGAGGGACUCCAUUAACAGUUCUAUCAGUUGUCUUACUAUGCGAAUUCCCCCCAUGGAGAUAUCCCAAUGGCAAAUCAAAACUCUCAGCAGGCUUCGUUUUUCUCCGUUUCAAAACAAUAUAUAACAUCCCUAUAAAGAUGAAAAUUAACACUGUACCUCCUAUACAUGAACCAAUGAUUAUAAACGAACUUUUUUUUGUAUCUUCCUCUGGAGCCGAACCCAAGUCCUUGACAAACUCCAUGAUUUCAACUCCAUUUAGAAAGGAUCCUUCAUUACUUGGAUCACUUGGAGGCCCAAUACUUAUUUUCAUUAAACCAGAAUCAUCCGAAUCAACUACAAUAUCAACGAGAAAAGGAGUGGCAGUGGCAGUGUCCGUAGUAUUAAAAAAUGGACUUAUUCCGAUACUGAAAUUACCAUAGAUAGAGAGAUUGAAUUGGAGGCCUUCGUUUGAGGUUUGGCUAAAAAUGUCACAGAAAUGCACCCGAACAAAGUGUGUAGCUCUUUUCUUCACACCGAAAUUCCACGAAAUGUUGAAAUUAUUGUUUGGCCUACUUUCAUUUGUGUUCAUUAUUUUGGCAGUCUUGUAAACAGGAUCAGGGGCAUCAAACCGGGUGGCCUCUCCACGCAGGUAGUUUAGAGGGCUAUCUGUAGAAAAAUUGUUAAUUGCCGAAUCCUUGUUGAACAAAUAAGCAUCAUCAGGUAUCCACCUCCUCAACAAGGUGUCAUUAUCCGGCGUAAUAUUUGAUCCCCCAAAGUUAAUUCUAUGGAUUAAACGUAAGGGGCUAGACAACAGACUCUUGUAGUCAGUCGUGUUUCCUUCUGGAGUUUUAUAUGAUUCAGAAUCGCGAAAGAA